AACAUCGCGCACCUGCGGGAACCUGCGGAAGGAUCAUUAAUGAUUGGUGGCUGUUGCUGACUAGUGUUUCUAGUAUGUGCACGCCACACCUUCAAUCCCACUUACACCUGUGCACCUUCUGUAAUAGAUCUAUGUGGAUACGGAGAUGUGAAGGUUUGCGCUCUCCUACUCUGUUGAAGCAGUCUACUACGUUUUUUUACACACACACACACAAUAGUCAUUGAAUGUAUUUUUUAUUCU
RNAcentral lists this unclassified non-coding RNA (240 nucleotides) under soil metagenome. Its description in RNAcentral is "partial contains 5.8S ribosomal RNA, internal transcribed spacer 2, and large subunit ribosomal RNA". The record is from RNAcentral.